CCUGGAUCCAGCAGCCGCCGGUAAUACGGCCUGAGGCUGCGCGUUAUCGGAUUACUGGGCGUAAAGCGCACGCAGGCGGUUUGUUAAGUCAGAUGUGAAAUCCCCGGGCUCAACCUGGGAACUGCAUCUGAUACUGGCAAGCUUGAGUCUCGUAGAGGGGGGUAGAAUUCCAGGUGUAGCGGUGAAAUGCGUAGAGAUCUGGAGGAAUACCGGUGGCGAAGGCGGCCCCCUGGACGAAGACUGACGCUCAGGUGCGAAAGCGUGGGGAGCAAACAGGAUUAGAUACCCUGGUAGUCCACGCCGUAAACGAUGUCGACUUGGAGGUUGUGCCCUUGAGGCGUGGCUUCCGGAGCUAACGCGUUAAGUCGACCGCCUGGGGAGCAUGGCCGUUUUAGU
RNAcentral lists this ribosomal RNA (396 nucleotides) under Haematoloechus sp. CW5H. RNAcentral's name for it is "SSU rRNA". It matches the Rfam family "Bacterial small subunit ribosomal RNA", at positions 501 to 894 of the family's 1533-position model. The record is from RNAcentral. Lineage: Eukaryota; Metazoa; Platyhelminthes; Trematoda; Plagiorchiida; Haematoloechidae.